UUUUCCUUGGCAUCCAGCUGCGUUCCUGCAGGUCUCCCAGUGAGAGACAAAGCACAAUGUCUGAGUUGAGCACAAAGAAGCCACCUUUAAAAAACAUCGACUUAGAGGAAACCUGUGUCCUCAGAUAUCUCCCUCCCUUCCCUGCUAUUUACGGAACCCAGCGUUAUACUUAACACAGCACUGCCUGUUGUCUGCAUGAUUCCGGCCAGCAAACUCGGGUGGAGAUGGCAAUAUACCCACUGUGUGUGUAGAUAGGUAGAGACCCCGAUUUUCAGGAGCUACCUGCUUUCCAGGAUCGAUGUGUAGCCGAGCUCCGAAAACGCGUGCCACCAGAAAUGAUGGGAGACACUCCCCUACUCAACUCAAGAUGUCUUUCAUUUUUAUCUUCUGCCACUUUUUUGUCAUCUGAAUUAUUGCUUAUCAUUACCAAGGGGCUGUAGGCUGAUCAGUGGAGUGUGCGUGGAUCUGAUGGACAUUGGAGGAGAAAUACUUCAGAAAGAAGGACAAUGUCUGCGGUAGAAGUAAAGGGGUAGGAGAAGCCACAGUGAGUGAUGAGUCCAUUGCAGAAGCCAAGUGGUAAAUCAGUGCAUAUGGCAAAGAUAGUCAAGGAGCAAAGCCUGCCGCUGGAAGGAAAGAGAUUUUUAGCGUUGUCGUCAUCUCAUGCCUGAAUAGAGUGCGUAUUUUAAAUAGGGCUUGGAAUCUCUGCUCUUCGUGCCUCUAAACGCCGACUGCAAGGAAGUAUUUGGGGGCUGUUGACUUUCUGUCCGUAAAGAAAACCCAGCAAGGCUCACAGAAUUCUCCACCUGCACGCAUACAGGCAUAGGUGCCCUAAAUGCCCGGUGGGAUGCGGAACCAUUAGGCGGAGAACUGCGCCCUGGUCUCCUCUUCUUCGCUCCUUUCUCUCCCCCCCCUCCACUCCUCCCCUUUCUUUUACCCCUUCUAGAAAACGUGAUACCUGAUCUCUGGGUCUAGCAGGCUGAGGGGUUGUUUUUUUUUCUUUUUUUUUUUUUUUUCCUGUAUUCGUAUAAUACAAUGUCUGGCCUUCCCCCUGACCUGCUGGUGUAUUUUUGGUCUCAUUAGCAGUCAGGGAGAUGCCUUAGUGCAUCCGGGGCUGCGAGUCAGGGAUGAGACACUACAACGGAGAGAGAGAGAGCGAGCGAGCGCGAGAGGAUAUUAGAAGGGAGGCUUGUCUCCAAGAUAUGGAAGGAAGUGAGAAAUGACAGGACCGCAAGCUUUGUAUGUAGGAGCCUGGCAGGGCGGGGGAGCGGCGGGGAAAGCCAAGUGGAUUCUCAGAAAAGGAGGGAAGCCGUAGAUAGAGCUAACGGUGAUUAGAGGGGGGAUAUUGAUUCCUUAUUCUGCCAGAGAUUUAAGCAGGCAUGCGAGGAAUCUGAACCAUGGUUGGCAAAAGGAGCCUCUGUAACCAGACACUCGGGCUUUCCAGGAGCCCAGGGAGAGAGCUGAGAAGAAAGGGGGCAGUGUGGUCUAGGAAAAUUCAACUUGUCGCUGAUUUGUGCCUGAUGCUUGCUGUCCGUCAGCAGCCUCCCUUACAAUCUUUUUUUCUCUCUCUCUCUCCCUUUUUUUUCUUGCCUUCUCCUUCUUCACUGAAGCCUAGGGGAGCCAGCAAAGAUUAAAUGUGCUUUCUCAAAGGCGGCCACUUCACGCUGCUAUGUCGAAAAGGCCAUUAUUAUUAUUAUUUUUAAUAGUAAAAGAAAAAGGGAGAGAGAGGUUGAGACAGGGAGAGAGAAGCAAGGUAGGUUGAUGACGGACUAGCCUUUCUGAGAGGAAAAGGAAAGUGAGAGAGAAAGGAGAGACCCUGAACUGAACGGAGGAUUGUGCCUGCGAAGAACCUACAGAGCAUGAGCUACAGAGUUACAGUCUCGAGAUUUGGUGUAUCGCUUCCUGCCCCCGCCUCCCUCCCCGCCCCGAUGUCGGUCCUCUGUUGAAACACCUCGCCCAGGCUAGCGCACUGCGAGCUCCCAUUUACCCCCCUUGCUCGGAAUGGUGUUGCACGAGAGCUGCAGCCCUGCUCCGCUUCCAAUGGUUGUGUCGAUGUUCCUUUCAGCUGGUCCUAUAGCCCCCCUCCUCAGGAAGGUCUCCCCAGGGCAAGGACAAAAACUUCAGAGACACAGCUGCACUGAUGGACGCUCAAGCCAACAAUGGAGUUGAAACAAAGAAAGAGAUCACCUGAAGACACCUUCCCUGCUAAGCAGCACACCCCAAAUGGCGCAGUUGCAGGCAAUAGAACUCUCAGAACAGGAGACCAUGUUUUCAAGAACCAGACAAAAUUUAACAGUGACAUCUAGAUUUCUAAAGAGCCAAGGACUUUCCCUUCCUCGUGUGUAUUCCUCUGUUUGUAUUUAAAUUCAGUGUGACAUUCAUUUCUAAAAUAUUUUCCCGGGAUGAGUAUGCUCGUGAAGGCAUUGAUGGUUUUACAACAGAAAAUUGCACACAGGUGUUCACGGGGUAAGGAACAACAUUAGUGCUAUAAGAACAUCGAUUUUUAGCCACACACCGUUUGAUCUUAAGAGUGACCUGAAGGAACAUAAAGUACUUUCGAAAUACCAAAGUAGUCAGAGGCAAUCCAAAGGAUAACAUAGUGGACAUUAUCCCACCUGACACAGACCAGUCAACCAUUCUUUUAAUCCAGCAAAAUAGGUUCGCUGAGACAUGAUCCCUGCCUCUAAAGAGUUUAAAUUUAAUGAGACCGAGAAACACAAACUUUUGAAAAGAUAGUAACCAAUCAGGUGCAUCGAUGUUAAGACCACAGUAAAACUCAAGAGAUAAUAAGCAAAGAGUUCAGAGGAGGUCACCAUAAUCUGGGCAAACCUGGCCUGUUUAGGGAAGAAAGUUUCCAAAGGAGGAAAACACAAGAUGAAUCUUAAAGGAUAGUAAGAUUUAGGGGCACCUGGUUGGCUCCGUUGGUAGAGCAUGCGACCCUUAAUCUCAGGGUUGUGAGUUCAAGCCCCACAUUGGGCGUGGAGCCUACUUACAAAAAAAGGGGGGAGAGGUAUUAAAUAUUUAGAUGAAUGGAAAGGAAAGAGAGAGUAGAUUGCUUUAAAUGAAUGCAAUGUGAGCAAAGCCAUGGAGGAAGGAAUCUAUGUGGUGAAUAUUGGGAAUUAUGAGUAUACGUGUCUAGUUGACAUUGAAUGCCAGCAUACAUAGACAUAUACGGUAAGGACUUCGCACACACACGUCCCCUCUCCCACCUUGGGUGUCACCUAGAAAUACCAUCUUAUUUUCCACAAAAGCAAGUGGGAGUGAUUGGUGGUAAUAUGAGAACUUACGAUUUUUCUUUUCACUUAAUAACAAUUAGUAUUUAUCGAGGUCUUAAUGUAUGUUAAGCAUUUGACGUAUGAACUCGCUUAAGCCUACAGCUCAGAACAGCCCUGCAAGAUAGGUACGAUUAUCCCUGUUUGGAAGCUAACAGUUAAUGAGAUUAAGUAACUUGCCAAACUGCCACGCACAGGGUCCGCACUCAGAAUUGUGACCUUAAAUCUCAUGAUCUGAAGCACGAAGUCCCAAUAUUGUGAUCAGUGUUGCAGUGUUACCACUUCCGUAUUCCCCGAUAGUUCUUUAUGGUGAACAAAUGGCUAUGACAUUCAGUUAUCCCCUCAAAUUUUUCAGUUUUCUGCUUAAAUGACAUUAGAACGAUCGAAAGACUUUUCAUGGGAGAAAACUGACAGAAUUGGGGAAGAGAGCUUCUCAGCAUUUUAGGGUGUUGUUUGUUUUUUUGCCAGACGUUGAGGAAACGGUUCGCCUUGUUCUGCACAAAAUCUAAAAUUCCUGAGGAUUAAUAAAGGAGGGGGGAAACUCAAAGGUCAUCUGUUGCAACAUGCUUUUCUACAGACGGCAAAUCAAAGUGUGAGUGGCUUACAGGAAGCUCACACAUUUGAGUGUGGCAGAGCUAGGUCCAGAAACCAGGCUGUCCAGUCUCCUCUCCGAGGCUCUUGAACUACCCCACCCUGCCUACAUGAAGCAUGAACUUGAAUUUGAUCAAGGAAAGUGUUCUGUCUGGGUGAUCGGGGGGGGGGGGGGGGGGGGGGAGGGGGGACUGCGCCUAGCAGGUUGUUUCCAUUUUGCACCUGUUUCGCUUCCCACCUCAACGUGAAAACUAGCCAGUUAUGAACUGACAUCUUCUGAUGUAGACAUUGUCAAUGGUCCACCCCCAAAGAACACAUAAUGGAUCAAAUUAUGUGCACCAUGUCUCCAAUGCUAUUCUUAAGUUAUUUGGAAUUCUUAGUUCACCUAAACCAAUCGGGUCUUCUGAUGAGCAUUUCCCGAUUUUAUGCGCAGUAUGUAUUUGUCAGUGCUUCUGCAUGAAUAUUUAUACACGACUGUUUCAAUAGUCCUUAUGUUUUUGAAAAUAUCAAUGGUUAUUUGCUAUUUUAAUCCUCACUUAUCCAUGUAACUAACUCAAGAAUACUUCAGCCAUAAAAAGCUAGAAGUGAGGAAAUCUCACUCUUUUUCACCGGAUCCUUCGCAUUUAAUUGGCAUUUAGUAAUGAUUAAUAAAGUGGUCAGCUGGAUGACACAGUUCCCAAAUGCAAUUCUGUCUCGAAGGAGUCCGUUAAACUGCAUCUACUUAAGGACACACAUCUAGACAUUUGGAAGCACCUGAAUAUUUGUGGUAAAUUUCCACUUCAAAAUCUGGCAUUGCCAGACCUAGACCUCCUUGUGGCUCAGGCCGUCCCGUUUUCAAAAUGAUGAUUAUUGGCCCUGUCUCACACAGUUCUCAUUAAGUGAGUAGCCAAGCACAAAAUGUGACUUUGUUGACAUUUUCUGAGACUUUGUCGUGUGUCCCUUGAAUCCCCAAAUAAAAGCAACGUUGCAUCAACUGUGAA
Long non-coding RNA from Felis catus (domestic cat), 4840 nucleotides. RefSeq lists it as uncharacterized. The transcript is spliced from 3 exons. The record is from RefSeq and is a predicted model, not a curated record. NCBI's taxonomy places the organism in Eukaryota, Metazoa, Chordata, Mammalia, Carnivora, Felidae.